CUUUCAAGCGGUCUCACUCGAAUUCUCUCUUCUAAAAGACCUCAUUUUUUUGUUGGUAACUGCUAAACGACAUGUUAGUCCCACGCUACAAUUCCAUGUUGGAGUUAAACGGUCAAGUUUGGUGUCGAAAUGUGAACAAUAUUGUGGCUACAAUGGAAGCUUGGCGACCAGCAGCCACGUGGACUCAAGCAAGGCGCACGUGCCAGAAUUCACUCGGCCAGGACGCCAUUGCAGCUGAAGAUUGGAGGUCAUGAGACACGGCGUUUGGGACGUGACAUAAAUGGUUUGGAGGUGUGCUGCUCAAGUUUCCAGAGCCUGGUCCAUGAUGGUGAGGUUCUGACCCAGCUGGGAGCAGACUGAGGUUUCAUGAAGACCUGCCAUCUUCUACACGUUCAUUGAAAUGAUGCAUGUUUAAGAUUGUCCACUGAGGGCUUCAGAGGUGGAACGUGACCAAAGUCUGGGCUUCCCUACCGAAAGGAUGGAUGGCUUCAGGAUGACCUUUCAUGUUAGUCAGGUUUCAUGAAGACCUGCCAUCUUCUACACGUUCAUUGAAAUGAUGCAUGUCUAAGGGGUGGAACGUGACCAAAGUCUGGGCUUCCCUACAGAAAGGAUGGAUGGCUUCAGGAUGACCUUUCAUGUUAGUCAGGUUUCCUAAAGACCUGCCAUCUUCUACACGUUCAUUGAAAUGAUGCAUGUCUAAGAUUGUCCACUGAGGGCUUCAGAGGUGGAACGUGACCAAAGUCUGGGCUUCCCUCCAGAAAGGAUGGAUGGCUUCAGGAUGACCUUUCAUGUUAGUCAGGAUGUGGAACAUGGUCGGCCUUUUGAUGAGGAAGGAAAUGAUUCAAGGAGCUGCUUUUUUGUGUAUAAAUGUUUCAAAUGAAUUAAACAACUUUUAAUU
Long non-coding RNA from Nerophis lumbriciformis (worm pipefish), 898 nucleotides. RefSeq lists it as uncharacterized. Lineage: Eukaryota; Metazoa; Chordata; Actinopteri; Syngnathiformes; Syngnathidae. The record is from RefSeq and is a predicted model, not a curated record.